Molecule: ribosomal RNA, 492 nt
Filed under: uncultured bacterium
Lineage: Bacteria
Description: partial 16S ribosomal RNA
Rfam family: Bacterial small subunit ribosomal RNA
Source: RNAcentral
AGUGAACGCUGGCGGUAGGCCUAACACAUGCAAGUCGAACGGCAGCACAGUAAGAGCUUGCUCUUACGGGUGGCGAGUGGCGGACGGGUGAGGAAUACAUCGGAAUCUACUUUUUCGUGGGGGAUAACGUAGGGAAACUUACGCUAAUACCGCAUACGACCUACGGGUGAAAGCAGGGGAUCUUCGGACCUUGCGCGAUUGAAUGAGCCGAUGUCGGAUUAGCUAGUUGGUGGGGUAAAGGCCCACCAAGGCGACGAUGCGUAGCUGGUCUGAGAGGAUGAUGAGCCACACUAGAGCUGAUAAGCGGUCCAGACUCCUACUGGAGGCAGCAGUGGUGAAUAUUGGACCAUGGGCGGAGGCCUGAUCCUGCCGUGCCGCGUGGGUGAAGAUGGCCUUCGGGUUGUAGAGCCCUUUUGUUGGGAGAGAAGCGCAGCAGGUUAAUAUCUCGCUGUUUUGACGGUACCCAAAGAAUAAGCACCGGCUAACUUCGUG